AGUAACGGCGAGUGAAGCGGUAACAGCUCAAAUUUGAAAUCUGGCUCCCUGCGGAGUCCGAGUUGUAAUUUGUAGAAGAUGCUUUGGGUGCACGACCCGGCCUAAGUGCCUUGGAACAGGACGUCGUAGAGGGUGAGAAUCCCGUAUGCGGCNGGCGUNGACGCCCGUGUAAAGCUCUUUCGACGAGUCGAGUUGUUUGGGAAUGCAGCUCAAAAUGGGUGGUAAAUUUCAUCUAAAGCUAAAUAUGGGCCAGAGACCGAUAGCGCACAAGUAGAGUGAUCGAAAGAUGAAAAGCACUUUGGAAAGAGAGUUAAACAGUACGUGAAAUUGUUGAAAGGGAAGCGCUUGCAACCAGACUUGGGCGUCGCUGAUCAUCCAAAGUUCUCUUUGGUGCACUCGACGACGCACAGGCCAGCAUCGGUUGGGGUGGUGGGAGAAAGACUGUAGGAACGUAGCUCUUUUCGGAGAGUGUUAUAGCCUGCGGUGCAAUACUGCCUACCUCGACCGAGGACCGCGCUUCGGCUAGGAUGCUGGCGUAAUGGUUGUAAGCGACCCGUCUUGAAACACGGACCAAGGAGUCUAACAUCUAUGCGAGUGUUUGGGUGCGAAACCCAUGCGCGAAAUGAAAGUGAACGUAGGUGAGAACCCUUUGAGGGGGCAUCAUCGACCGAUCCUGAUGUCUUCGGAUGGAUUUGAAUAANANCAUANCUGUUGGGACCAA
Molecule: ribosomal RNA, 721 nt
Filed under: Phyllactinia juglandis
Lineage: Eukaryota; Fungi; Ascomycota; Leotiomycetes; Helotiales; Erysiphaceae
Description: eukaryotic LSU rRNA
Rfam family: Eukaryotic large subunit ribosomal RNA
Source: RNAcentral